CGAGAAGUUAGCGUGCAUUCAAGUUGUGUAAGAGAUGUGGUGUGAGAAUGGAAGAGAAGGUUUUAUAAUAUUGAUUGGAUAGCCCAUCAGGGCCAGGAGAUUUCCCAGAUGGGAGAGCUUUUAUAGUGGCAAGGAUUUCUUCAACUGUGAUGGGAGAUUGUAGUUGUGCUUGUUGGUCAGUUGUAAGCUUUGGGAGGUCUAUUCUAGCUAAAAAGUUAGCAAUCUCAGAGUCAGUUGGUAUGUAUGCACGUCAUUUUUAAC
Molecule: non-coding RNA, 261 nt
Organism: Pelobates cultripes (western spadefoot toad)
Lineage: Eukaryota; Metazoa; Chordata; Amphibia; Anura; Pelobatidae
Source: the annotation of a GenBank genome assembly